Molecule: ribosomal RNA, 876 nt
Filed under: uncultured archaeon
Lineage: Archaea
Description: bacterial SSU rRNA
Rfam family: Archaeal small subunit ribosomal RNA
Source: RNAcentral
UCCGGUUGAUCCUGCCGGAGGUCAUUGCUAUUGGAGUCCGAUUUAGCCAUGCUAGUUGCACGAGUUUGAACUCGUAGCAGAUAGCUCAGUAACACGUGGCCAAACUGCCCUAUAGACGGCGAUAACCUCGGGAAACUGAGGCUAAUAGCCGAUACCGUUCAGCACCUGGAGUGGUGUGAACGCGAAACGUUCAGGCGCUAUAGGAUGUGGCUGCGGCCGAUUAGGUAGACGGUGGGGUAACGGCCCACCGUGCCUAUAAUCGGUACGGGUUGUGAGAGCAAGAGCCCGGAGACGGUAUCUGAGACAAGAUACCGGGCCCUACGGGGCGCAGCAGGCGCGAAACCUUUACACUGCACGAUAGUGCGAUAAGGGGACUCCGAGUGCGAGGGCAUAUAGUCCUCGCUUUUCACCACCGUAAGGUGGUGGUGGAAUAAGUGCUGGGCAAGACCGGUGCCAGCCGCCGCGGUAAUACCGGCAGCACGAGUGAUGACCGCUAUUAUUGGGCCUAAAGCGUCCGUAGCUGGGCCAGGCAAGUCUAUCGGGAAAUCUGCGCGCUUAACGCGCAGGCGUCCGGUGGAAACUGCGUGGCUUGGGACCGGAAGACCAGAGGGGUACGUCCGGGGUAGGAGUGAAAUCCCGUAAUCCUGGACGGACCACCGGUGGCGAAAGCGCCUCUGGAAGACGGAUCCGACGGUGAGGGACGAAAGCUCGGGUCACGAACCGGAUUAGAUACCCGGGUAGUCCGAGCUGUAAACGAUGUCUGCUAGGUGUGGCACAGGCUACGAGCCUGUGCUGUGCCGUAGGGAAGCCGAGAAGCAGACCGCCUGGGAAGUACGUCCGCAGGGAUGAAACUUAAAGGAAUUGGCGGGGGAGCAC